CAUGCGAGGUUGGUUUAGUUAAGUCAGAUGUAGAAACGGCCCGGGGCUACAACCGUACGGUAAUUGACUAUUUAGAAACGUGGACAAACUAGAGUACUGUAGGAGGGGGUAGAAUUUCAGGUGUAGCGGUGAAAUGCGUAGAGAUCUGAAGGAAUACCGGUGGCGAAGGCGGCCCCCUGGACAGAUACUGACACUCAGAUGACGAAAGCGUGGGGAGCAAACAGGAUUAGAUACCCUGGUAG
This 242-nucleotide ribosomal RNA is filed under the name uncultured bacterium. RNAcentral describes it as "partial 16S ribosomal RNA". The stretch from base 44 to 242 matches the Rfam family "Bacterial small subunit ribosomal RNA", at positions 556 to 793 of the family's 1533-position model. The record is from RNAcentral.